CUCUUUUUUCUUUCUUCUAGUUUUUCUUCUUCUAGACCUACAUUUAAUCAAAAUCAGCCGCCACUACGAGCAUUAGAAAAGAGGAUUAAACAUAAAAAAUACUCUCAUGAGUAAGAAGUUAAAGAUCUAAUUGAUGUUAAAGUAGGUGUUCCUUAUGCUUCAAAAAAGAAGAAGAAGUGGAGUUUAUUUUACUGGUAAGCAAAAGAUCUUAAUCUUCUUUGGAGAGAAGAGACAAGUUAUUUGAGUAUGAUUGUCGAAGAGCCACAAUUAGAACCGAUUCCAGAUUCUUCUAAGCAACAACAACUGUGAGGAUGAGAUCAAGAAUUCGGUUGUCCAAAGCUAAUACGCUUUAAUUAUGAAGAAAUCAACAGAUUUAGAAUGUAUAAAUAUUUAGUUCAACAAAGUUUGUAUGUAUUUGGUAUUCCUUGUACAAUUAUUUUUUCCGAUGGAAAUGUACUAUGUACAAAGUCAAUUGCUUUGUUUGUA
Long non-coding RNA from Papaver somniferum (opium poppy), 486 nucleotides. RefSeq lists it as uncharacterized. NCBI's taxonomy places the organism in Eukaryota, Viridiplantae, Streptophyta, Magnoliopsida, Ranunculales, Papaveraceae. The transcript is spliced from 2 exons. The record is from RefSeq and is a predicted model, not a curated record.